UACGGAGGAUGCGAGCGUUAUCCGGAUUUAUUGGGUUUAAAGGGUGCGUAGGCGGAUCGUUAAGUCAGUGGUCAAAUUGAGGGGCUCAACCCCUUCCCGCCAUUGAAACUGGCGAUCUUGAGUGGAAGAGAAGUAUGCGGAAUGCGUGGUGUAGCGGUGAAAUGCAUAGAUAUCACGCAGAACCCCGAUUGCGAAGGUAGCAUGCCGGCUUCCUACUGACGCUGAAGCACGAAAGCGUGGGGAUCGAACAGG
Molecule: ribosomal RNA, 252 nt
Filed under: uncultured bacterium
Lineage: Bacteria
Description: partial 16S ribosomal RNA
Rfam family: Bacterial small subunit ribosomal RNA
Source: RNAcentral